CAUAGAGAAAUACAGUUUGUCUUAAUCUCCAAACAGUAAAUUUAAUGUAUCUGUUGUUGUUAAUGUAUAACAAACAGUUGCUUUUAUGUUGAAGAUUAUGAGGUUCAACGCGUUCAACUAUAAAUCACAGUCUAUGCAAUCCAUACCAAUUGGUGACAUUAUAUUACACUGUGCAGAUAUUGUUGAAUGUUAUGAUGAUGGAAACUCACAAAUAAUGGUGGCAAUAUUAAAUCACAUUAUGUCAAACUGUUUGUGCUCCUUCUGUGCAACACACUGACACACAUGCGUAAAAAUGGUUAGUUACUAAUGUUGAACAAUAUGACAAACAGUUGCACGCAUAAGUAUUUGUGAAUCAAUGAAAACUGGCUGACGGCUGUAAACUUUCAAAACAAAGGGAAAAAAUAAGAGUAGAAAAAUGUGAAAAUUGCAAUUUUUGUAAGUUUGUAAAUAUCUGCCGCAAAUAAUUGUUGCAUUGGAGCAUGAGCAGAAGUUCACGUGAUGGUAGCGACGGAACCGAAGCGGUUCCCACCAGGAGACGUUUAUAGCCGUCCUCAUUGGGAGCCUACACGGCAUCACUCCGGUGACCAACUCCCCUUUCAUCUAGAAUGCCUGCCGUCUAUACCGCGCACCAUCCGGACGGCUCAGCGACAAGGCAAGAUGUGCAUCGUCCACUUAAAGUGAGAAAUUUAGCAGCAGAAAGAUGUUGGUGUUUCUACGGGUGGACACUGGACAGUGAAGUCGUCUGACACCGGUCUGCACGACCGACGACGGAGUUGGAGAAGCAGAAGGACACGUUUUUUAUAGGUAUAUGAGAUUGUAAUUAAUAAAUAUAUUUGUUUUAUUGAUUAA
Long non-coding RNA from Aedes albopictus (Asian tiger mosquito), 849 nucleotides. RefSeq lists it as uncharacterized. The record is from RefSeq and is a predicted model, not a curated record. NCBI's taxonomy places the organism in Eukaryota, Metazoa, Arthropoda, Insecta, Diptera, Culicidae. The transcript has 2 exons.